UACGUAGGGGCGAAGCGUUGUCCGGAAUCAUUGGGUCGGUAAAGACGCGUGUAGGCGGUUCGGUAAGUCCGCUGUGAAAGUCGGGGCGUCAACCCUCGAAAGCCGGUGGAUACUGUCGGGCUAGAGUACGGAGGAGGCGAGUGGAAUUCCUGGUGUAGCGGUGAAAUGCGCAGAUAUCAGGAGGAACACCAAUUGCGAAGGCAGCUCGCUGGGACGUUACUGACGCUGAGACGCGAAAGCGUGGGGAGCGAACAGGAUUAGAAACCCCGAGUAGU
This 275-nucleotide ribosomal RNA is filed under the name uncultured archaeon. Its description in RNAcentral is "partial 16S ribosomal RNA". It matches the Rfam family "Bacterial small subunit ribosomal RNA", at positions 524 to 794 of the family's 1533-position model. The record is from RNAcentral.